Frankliniella occidentalis (western flower thrips) is the source of this 65-nucleotide non-coding RNA. The record is from the annotation of a RefSeq genome assembly. NCBI's taxonomy places the organism in Eukaryota, Metazoa, Arthropoda, Insecta, Thysanoptera, Thripidae.
ACUUGUGUAGUAAAAAAAAUACAUUGAUAUUAAAAAUCAAAAAUAAAGUUUAUCUUUUUCAAGUA